UACUCCUACGGGAGGCAGCAUGUCAGGGAAUCUUCCGCAAUGGACGAAAGUCUGACGGAGCAACGCCGCGUGAGUGAGGAAGGCUUUCGGGUCGUAAAACUCUGUUGUUAGGGAAGAACAAGUGCUAGUUGAAUAAGCUGGCACCUUGACGGUACCUAACCAGAAAGCCACGGCUAACUACGUGCCAGCAGCCGCGGUAAUAAA
RNAcentral lists this ribosomal RNA (204 nucleotides) under Bacillus cereus. RNAcentral's name for it is "partial 16S ribosomal RNA". It matches the Rfam family "Bacterial small subunit ribosomal RNA", at positions 334 to 527 of the family's 1533-position model. The record is from RNAcentral. Lineage: Bacteria; Bacillati; Bacillota; Bacilli; Caryophanales; Bacillaceae.